UCCUUAAUAGAAUCCAGUACUUUAUAAAAAAAGAACACUACAUUUACUAUCUAAUUUCUCCUGCUGCUUGCAGGGUGGAAGCUGUAGGGAUCUAACAGCAAAGUGGGCAGUGCUGGGUGGUUUGGGGAUGCAGGUGAGGACAGAAAGCUGCACUUCUAGUCGGUGACGAGGAAAGAAGGCUCUGAAGCAGCAGACUUGCAGGCAGCAGGUCACGCUUUCCGGAGGAAGAAGAGUUGCUGCCUAAGAGGAAACUACAGCAGGCAGGCCAAAAUGAAAUACAAACAAAAGCUGGGGAAGGCAAAAGCCAUGUGUUGUCUUUCCUUCCCUCCGACCUGCAGCAGAGAUGCUCAGGAGCCUGGCACGUGGCUGUGCCACUCCGGGACUUGGCAAGCUCCAGCCCAAACUGAUUUCCACGCGAUUUGAGGCUUUCUUUGGAACUGCAGCAGCAUUGCUGAAGGCUGCUUCGCUCCGUGCUCCAGCCUUAUUAGAAAAGCCGUGUCCCAGCGGAUGCCAUUUUGGCACCUAUUAAACCUCCCCAAGGAACGUUUGUGGGCUAUUGCCUGUCUCGGAGCUGCCUUGCUGCCACUUCACUGUGGGCUGACGAAGGAGAAGACGAGGAACCCGCCAGGCGCUUCCCUCUGGGGCUUGUU
Oxyura jamaicensis (ruddy duck) is the source of this 650-nucleotide long non-coding RNA. RefSeq lists it as uncharacterized. NCBI's taxonomy places the organism in Eukaryota, Metazoa, Chordata, Aves, Anseriformes, Anatidae. The record is from RefSeq and is a predicted model, not a curated record. The transcript is spliced from 3 exons.